RNAcentral lists this ribosomal RNA (253 nucleotides) under uncultured bacterium. Its description in RNAcentral is "partial 16S ribosomal RNA". It matches the Rfam family "Bacterial small subunit ribosomal RNA", at positions 524 to 776 of the family's 1533-position model. The record is from RNAcentral.
UACGUAGGGUGCAAGCGUUGUCCGGAAUUAUUGGGCGUAAAGAGCUCGUAGGCGGUUUGUCGCGUCUGCUGUGAAAAUCCAGGGCUUAACCCUGGACCUGCAGUGGGUACGGGCAGGCUAGAGUUCGGUAGGGGAGAUCGGAAUUCCUGGUGUAGCGGUGAAAUGCGCAGAUAUCAGGAGGAACACCGGCGGCGAAGGCGGGUCUCUGGGCCGAUACUGACGCUGAGGAGCGAAAGCGUGGGGAGCGAACAGG